GGCGAGAAACUCAGUGGGCUGUUUGUUUUUUCUGCGGAUCGAUUUUAUGUGAGGCACCUGUUUUUUAUUGACGCGUUUCCUUGGUGCUAUUGUGGUUCUUCUACAUGAAUUCGAAUGUCGCAGGACGUGCUGGCUGGGUUAUCUUGUG
Molecule: non-coding RNA, 148 nt
Organism: Bombyx mori (domestic silkworm)
Lineage: Eukaryota; Metazoa; Arthropoda; Insecta; Lepidoptera; Bombycidae
Source: RefSeq, marked provisional